This 307-nucleotide ribosomal RNA is filed under the name uncultured bacterium. RNAcentral's name for it is "bacterial SSU rRNA". It matches the Rfam family "Bacterial small subunit ribosomal RNA", at positions 28 to 334 of the family's 1533-position model. The record is from RNAcentral.
GAUGAACGCUGGCGGCGUGCCUAACACAUGCAAGUCGAACGAUUAAACCGCCCUCGGGCGGACAUAGAGUGGCGAACGGGUGAGUAACACGUGACCAACCUGCCCCGCGCUCCGGGACAACCGCUGGAAACGGCGGCUAAUACCGGGUACUCCGGGAGGGCCCCAUGGCCCUGCCGGGAAAGCCGAGACGGCGCGGGAUGGGGUCGCGGCCCAUUAGGUAGACGGCGGGGUAACGGCCCACCGUGCCCGCGAUGGGUAGCCGGACUGAGAGGUCGACCGGCCACAUUGGGACUGAGAUACGGCCCAG